GUGCAGUAUCAAAGCUAACGCGUUAAGUAUCCCGCCUGGGGAGUAUGCUCGCAAGAGUGAAACUCAAAGGAAUUGACGGGAGACCACACAAUAGGUGGAUUAUGCGGUUUAAUUUGAUGCAACGCAAAGAACCUUACCAGGGUUUGACAUGUCUAGAAUUUUUCAGAAAUGGAAAAGUGCUUCCUUUUUAUGAAAGGAAGAACUAGAACACAGGUGGU
RNAcentral lists this ribosomal RNA (218 nucleotides) under Strombidium inclinatum. RNAcentral describes it as "partial Bacterial small subunit ribosomal RNA". It matches the Rfam family "Bacterial small subunit ribosomal RNA", at positions 838 to 1042 of the family's 1533-position model. Lineage: Eukaryota; Ciliophora; Spirotrichea; Strombidiidae. The record is from RNAcentral.